Molecule: transfer RNA, 72 nt
Filed under: Glarea lozoyensis 74030
Lineage: Eukaryota; Fungi; Ascomycota; Leotiomycetes; Helotiales; Helotiaceae
Also listed under: 1 other name
Description: tRNA-Pro (TGG) (tRNA-Pro-TGG-1 1 to 3)
Rfam family: tRNA
About the family: Transfer RNA (tRNA) molecules are approximately 80 nucleotides in length. Their secondary structure includes four short double-helical elements and three loops (D, anti-codon, and T loops).
Source: RNAcentral
GGCUCAAUGGUCUAGUGGUAUGAUUCUCGCUUUGGGUGUGAGAGGUCUCCGGUUCAAUCCCGGAUUGAGCCC